Molecule: small nucleolar RNA, 82 nt
Filed under: Helianthus annuus (common sunflower)
Lineage: Eukaryota; Viridiplantae; Streptophyta; Magnoliopsida; Asterales; Asteraceae
Source: RNAcentral
GCAGUGAUGAUUGAAUACACAGCUUUAAGCCAGUUCUGCUUCAGAAAAUUCUUGAUUGAUAGAGCUGUUAUUUACUCUGAGC